UUUUUUUUGAAAUGUUAGCUGUUUCAACUAACGAGAUAUUUGAUUCUUAUUUGUCCUGACAUAUUUUUCUAGGCGCUCAUGAAUAUCGAUUUCUCCAUGUUCAACAUAUAAGUCUUAGGAUACAUUUAAUUUCAAGGUUUUCAAAUUUGCAUUGUUCUUGCAAGUUUUCUUCAAAUAUACUUACAAUAAUAUAUUGUUAUCGCGUCUAUGACAGAUUAAAAUGUUUGUCAAUUUUAGAGGAUUCGCUAUUGGUAAGUCAUUUUAAAUGGAAUCGCUUUUGGUAAAUUGAUGAAUUUGGUAUGCAGCUGAAUAAGUAUUGGCAGGUCUCAUUUCCAUCAGUUUAAAAAAAACACUUAUGGUAUGGUAAUUAUAUUUGGUAUGCAGUUGUAAUUACAUUUACAAAUCUAAUUUGAAUGGUUGCAUUGUUUUCCCCCUCCGCUCACUGCUCACUUUCAUGGACUAGUGUGUAGGUAAUUUGUCAGUUAAAGAGGAACCAAUCGUGGUAUAACGUCAAUAAUGUUGUUUUGCAGUUGUAUAAAAAACAAUUGUCACUUCUCAUGUCCUUGGAGAUUUGUUUGUUACUCUUGAGUACAUUGACUUUGAACGUUUUGCAAAAUUAAAACAUUAAAGUGUUGAGUUUAAUUUAAUUUUGCAUUAUUGCACGAAGAUCCGACACAGGUGAGGCAUAUUAUCUCUGUGUAAACAGUUCAUAUGUUCAAUAGUUAACUUGUGUAUCUAUUAAAAAAAACGUUUUAUGUAAUUUGUGGUUACAAAAGCACGACUUAAUUAUACACUUAACAUGAAGUACAGUCAUUUGAGUCUUAAAUGCAUUUUACCCAUAAUUUUGUUUUAAGUCGUAAGUCUUAGUUUUAAACGUAGGUGUGUUUUCCAGUAUUAAAUUUCUUUUAAACUUGGUUUAAAUCAAACUGAUCAAUUUAUUACGUUUGCAAGAUAAAUACAUGAGAUCUCUUUUUAUUUUUUAUUUUUUUACCUUGAGUGCUUGUGUGUCUCAUAAGUCUUUAUAAGCUUGGUUCUGAUUUUUUUAUGUGAUUUACUUGUUUUUAUGUGAUUUUUUAUUGUUUUAUUGUGCUUGUGUGUCUCAUAAGUCUUUAUAAGCUUGGUUCUGAUUUUUUUUAUGUGAUUGUACUUGUAAAUAUUUAGUUUUGUGUAAGAUCAACAUGUGACACUUUAAUAAAAUAAAUUUUUC
Molecule: long non-coding RNA, 1207 nt
Filed under: Mytilus galloprovincialis (Mediterranean mussel)
Lineage: Eukaryota; Metazoa; Mollusca; Bivalvia; Mytilida; Mytilidae
Source: RNAcentral